Molecule: ribosomal RNA, 258 nt
Filed under: uncultured bacterium
Lineage: Bacteria
Description: partial 16S ribosomal RNA
Rfam family: Bacterial small subunit ribosomal RNA
Source: RNAcentral
UGGCGGACGGGUGAGUAACGUGUGGGUAACCUGCCUUACACAGGGGGAUAACACCUGGAAACAGGUGCUAAUACCGCAUAAGCGCACAGGGCCGCAUGGCCCGGUGUGAAAAACUCCGGUGGUGUAAGAUGGACCCGCGUCUGAUUAGCUUGUUGGCGGGGUAGGGGCCCACCAAGGCGACGAUCAGUAGCCGGCCUGAGAGGGUGGACGGCCACAUUGGGACUGAGACACGGCCCAAACUCCUACGGAAGGCAGCAG